This 613-nucleotide ribosomal RNA is filed under the name Stappia indica. RNAcentral's name for it is "bacterial SSU rRNA". It matches the Rfam family "Bacterial small subunit ribosomal RNA", at positions 104 to 752 of the family's 1533-position model. Lineage: Bacteria; Pseudomonadati; Pseudomonadota; Alphaproteobacteria; Hyphomicrobiales; Stappiaceae. The record is from RNAcentral.
GGGUGAGUAACGCGUGGGAACAUACCUUUCGGUACGGAACAACAGUUGGAAACGACUGCUAAUACCGUAUACGCCCUGAGGGGGAAAGAUUUAUCGCCGAGAGAUUGGCCCGCGUUGGAUUAGCUAGUUGGUGGGGUAAUGGCCUACCAAGGCGACGAUCCAUAGCUGGUCUGAGAGGAUGAUCAGCCACACUGGGACUGAGACACGGCCCAGACUCCUACGGGAGGCAGCAGUGGGGAAUAUUGGACAAUGGGCGCAAGCCUGAUCCAGCCAUGCCGCGUGAGUGAUGAAGGCCUUAGGGUUGUAAAGCUCUUUCGCCGGUGAAGAUAAUGACGGUAACCGGUAAAGAAGCCCCGGCUAACUUCGUGCCAGCAGCCGCGGUAAUACGAAGGGGGCUAGCGUUGUUCGGAAUUACUGGGCGUAAAGCGCACGUAGGCUGACUUUUAAGUCAGGGGUGAAAUCCCGGGGCUCAACCUCGGAACUGCCUUUGAUACUGGAAGUCUUGAGUCCGAGAGAGGUGAGUGGAACUCCGAGUGUAGAGGUGAAAUUCGUAGAUAUUCGGAAGAACACCAGUGGCGAAGGCGGCUCACUGGCUCGGUACUGACGCUGAGGU